RNAcentral lists this long non-coding RNA (273 nucleotides) under Elaeis guineensis (African oil palm). RNAcentral's name for it is "long non-coding RNA (EGUI_LNC079078)". The record is from RNAcentral. Lineage: Eukaryota; Viridiplantae; Streptophyta; Magnoliopsida; Arecales; Arecaceae.
CUUGGUGCCUCCAAAAUAUUUGCGAGCACCACUCUUCAUCGAGUUUUGAUCCUCUACAUGACCUAGCCAAUAAGGAGCGAAACCAACUGUGCAGACCUCCUCGCCACCAUAGUAUAUCUCAGUCCUAGAGCUAUCCAGGAGACUGCCACCACCUCCUUUAUGGCUGAAGAUCUCAUCCUACAUCCGGAUAUCUCUCCUGUAGAUCCUAUCAUCAGUAACUAUACCUAUCACUGAUCUAGCAGCUGCACCCUCUGCUGUCUCCGCAACUCCACC